GCCACUGUAGUGUAGCGGUAAACACUGUCCCGGCUUGUCAGAAGACGUAGGUUCGAAUUCCAUCAGUGGCA
This is a non-coding RNA of Phthorimaea operculella (potato tuberworm), 71 nucleotides long. NCBI's taxonomy places the organism in Eukaryota, Metazoa, Arthropoda, Insecta, Lepidoptera, Gelechiidae. The record is from the annotation of a GenBank genome assembly.